UCGCACUGUGGUGGAUUCCCGCCCGUCGCUACUACCGAUUGGAUGAUUUAGUGAGGUGUUUUGACUGGCGCCAGUAGUCGGAUAUGUAUUCGGCUUCGCGCCGGGAAAUUUCCCAAACCAAAUCAUCUAGAGGAAGUAAAAGUCGUAACAAGGUUUCCGUAGGUGAACCUGCGGAAGGAUCAUUA
This is a non-coding RNA of Trichinella spiralis, 185 nucleotides long. The record is from Rfam. Lineage: Eukaryota; Metazoa; Nematoda; Enoplea; Trichinellida; Trichinellidae.